GGAGAAUUGAGAGGAGCUGUCCCUAGUACGAGAGGACCGGGAUGGACGUACCUCUGGUGUACCGAUUGUGGCGCCAGCCGCAUCGUCGGGUAGCUAAGUACGGAAGGGAUAACCGCUGAAAGCAUCUAAGCGGGAAGCCCCCCUCGAAACAAGUUCUCCCUUGAGAGCCGUGGAAGACCACCACGUUGAUAGGCCAGGUGUGGAAGUGCGGUAACGCAUGGAGCUAACUGGUACUAAUCGCUCGAGCGGCUUGAUUCG
RNAcentral lists this ribosomal RNA (258 nucleotides) under Gallionellaceae bacterium. Its description in RNAcentral is "partial 23S ribosomal RNA". It matches the Rfam family "Bacterial large subunit ribosomal RNA", at positions 2656 to 2925 of the family's 2925-position model. The record is from RNAcentral. Lineage: Bacteria; Pseudomonadati; Pseudomonadota; Betaproteobacteria; Nitrosomonadales; Gallionellaceae.